Molecule: transfer RNA, 64 nt
Filed under: Sphingomonas sp. 28-63-12
Lineage: Bacteria; Pseudomonadati; Pseudomonadota; Alphaproteobacteria; Sphingomonadales; Sphingomonadaceae
Description: tRNA-Arg
Source: RNAcentral
GCACCCGUAGCUCAGCUGGAUAGAGCGCUGCCCUCCGAAGGCAGGUGUCAAGUUGGUUGGGGUA